GGAUCUGAAGUCAAUGAAAAAUUCUUCAUAGCUCUUUUUGUUGGGCUUCCCCAGAAGAUGACACUGAAAGGAAGGUUUGGAUGCAAGUUGUUCAUUUAGGAGGAGAUCUCAGAAGCACAAAGUAUUUCCUUGGGUCAGGACCUCCAAGUCCUCCCCUAACUGUGCAGCAGGUCCAUAAAUUCAUCAGCUUCCCAGGCUGCUUCCACCUUUGCUACAUGUGGCCUCAUCCUUACAGCCCAAGAUGGCUCCUAGGGCUCUAGCCAUCACAUCCUGGUACCAGAGAGCAAGAUGACUGAAGGGGAGGAAAGAGAGCAUGUGCUUGUCUCGUGAAGAGAUUUCCUGGAAGUUACACAAAACAUUUCUGUUUUCAGCUUGUUGACUAGAACAUAGUCGUCUGUCAUACUUAGUGUGGAGGGUGACCAAAGAGGGAGUGUUUUGUCUGAAUAGCAUUGCAUCCAGCCAGAUAGCGAGGGCAAGUAGCUGGAGGGAAGAGGAAGACAGACAUUGUAGAGGAAGCUAGCAGUGACUCCCC
Molecule: long non-coding RNA, 532 nt
Filed under: Pan troglodytes (chimpanzee)
Lineage: Eukaryota; Metazoa; Chordata; Mammalia; Primates; Hominidae
Description: long non-coding RNA NONPTRT005807
Source: RNAcentral